GCAGUAAUCAUAGACCAUGAAAGAAAUGUAACAUUCUAACUGAUCGAAGAACAAGAAUAAAAAAUCUAUGAAUCAAUCAAUGUCAAAAUUGUUUUGAGCUGUUCUGUUCAUGUAAGAUUCGAGGGUGGACAAAAAAACUACUAAUACUCCAAAAAUAAAUAGAAAAAGAAAAUCUGUCCUAUUACAACAUGGUAAGGUCUUCAUGGGUGUUUCUUAGAAAGAGAACUUGAAAGCACCAGCAUGGGAAUCUGUUACCGAGUCCCAGAAGGAAAGUUUUUUCUGCUGUGCUUUUUUCUCCUCUGCUUUCUGCACCAGUUGAUUGAUGGUUCCAGGAAAAGCUGCUUCCAUAGCAUUCCUAAACUUAUCAUGCAAAUUCACACGGUCUUGUGUUCCAGAUACCAGCUCACUUGCAUUUGGCCUCUUAAGAAACUCCAAAACAUUCAACAAAUUUCUCCUGCAGCACAGAAUGCAAAUUAUACUUGGAUCUUCUUAUUCUUCUGCCCUAAAACAGGAUAAAAUCAUAUGCACAAGCAACACAUAACAAAAAUAUAAUUGUAGUUUGAAAUUACUGUGAGUCCACAAGAACAAUCUACCUUGCAGUCCUUAUUAUAGCUUUGAUCAAAAUAACAUGAGGGCAUGUCAUAUUUUGGCAUUAAGCCGUAUAGACAAUGUCAUUAUCUAUUACUAAUUUGCUGCAGAUGUUAACCAAGGAUAGCUAAGACCUCUAGAUACUUUCAAAAUUGUGUUAUACAUUGACUGUAAUAUUCUGACCAGACAGGACCUUUUUAAGAACUAAACAAUAUACCUGAAGUACUAAACAACUUCCUUGAAGAUGGAAAUGGAAUACAAAUGAUAUAUAGUUCCCUCAAAUAAUGCAUGGUACACCAACUUAAAGCUGUCCUGCCAUUUUUAUUCCAAUUCCUAUUUAAAAGAAGUGAUGAAAAAUUGACACAAGGCCUAGACAAUCUUGGUCAAAGAGAAGUUCAACACAAAGCAAGAACUAAGAGUCUAUGAUGGCUAGAAAAAAACUUUCCAUGCAUUAAAUAUAUAAAGAUGUGCCUAUAUACCUGGACAGCUGGAUUGAUUCUGGGUCCCAACCCUUAAGAUUUCAGUUAGCAAGCAAGAUAUAUGCAUACAAUACCUGAGCAAUCUAACCAAGCCCCACGAGUAUACAUCAGAUGGAUCUUUCACAUUCUACAUUUCUAUUAAAACACUAAAAAAGCAGUAUGUUGGAUGCAAACGUAAAGUAAUACGACUUCAAAUUGACCACCAAAUGCAAUUAGGCACAGGUAAGCUCCCUGCAUCAUCCAUAUCUUUUGGAAGUUCUUGUAUCAUUUUGACACUUUCAUGAGCAGACAAAAAGACAAUAACUCCUAACAGCCUUUGGGUGCAGAUUGCAUUGGUUAUAAUGCUCCCUACUUCAAUAAUACAUACAUCUCACUGUUAGUGCACUCUACUUUAAUUACCUACUGGGAUUGUGGAUUACUGCUUUCCAAUCUUUUGACGAGUUUAUUCUUUACCUCUUAUGUUACAUCUAAAUGUAUGCAGAGUGAUGGAAGUUUCUAUCUUGAGAAAAAGAGACCAAUCUGAAAAAUACUGCUCACAGAAUGUUAGCAAUUGCUGCAAUUCUAAAUGGCAAUAAGCUAAAACAACCUUGUUUUCUUAACAUUUGAUUCAUAACAGGCUAACACAACCUUGAUUUUUUAAACUAAAAAAAAAAAAGCUUAUCCUAUGCAUUGAUACUCGUCACUUCAUACAAUGUCCUUAGCACAGUUGAACACUGAAUGACUUGAGCAGACAGUUAGAGAUAAUGAUUGGAUUUAAUUUCAUGAAUUGUCGCCCUAGUUAUUAACUUAAGAAAGUUUAGGAGAGAACAAUCUUAAAUGGGAUACUGGGAUCUUCACAAGACAUAAGAACAAUAUUCUCAACUAGUGAUUAGGGAAAUGUGCUUGCACUGCUCUGAUGAAAUUCCUAAAGAGCACUUGCAAGAGCUAUCAACAUUACAUAACAAAUGAGAAUACACACCUGCUGACAUAAUUCUGUGUAAUGGCAACAGAUUCUUCCAAGUUGAUCACCAAAUGCCACCAUCCAUUGGGCACAAAAAUCACCUCCCCAGCCUUACAGAGGCACUCAAUGGGUCUUUUCUUCCAAUUUUUUGUUGCAUCAUAAAAGUUCAUGAACCACUCAAUUAUUGAAACAGGACAUGCCACCUCUGCACCAUCUGGGCUUGGAUGCACCCCUGGUGGUAUCACGUCAGGUGGGAACAAAAUCCAUUUCUUAGACCCUUUUAUCACCGCAUUCCAAGCUGAUGUUGAAUUGGGAUCAAUGUGGAAUGAUGAACCAGAUCCUGCGGGGCCAAUUAUGAUCCACCUAUAAUCAGGUCUCUCAUUGUCUAAAACACUAAACAAAUCCUCUCUGAAGUAGAUUGGAACUUCAAAAUCUGAACCCAAAAUGGGAAUCUUUUCCGCAAACUUUGGGUCAAAAAGAUACAAGGGCCUCUCUUCUCUCACUUGAUCUGCAUAUCUAAAAUACUCCUCAAGCCUCAUCUCUACUGGCCCAACUGCAAAUUUGACAUCGCCACAUACCUUGAGUAAAUAAUUCCUAUCCCAUUUUUGCAAUGCAGCCCAAUUAUCCAUACACCCUUCCAACAACACUGGUUUAUUUGGUUCCUCAAAAUUCAACACAAAUUCCUCAACAGAAAUACCUUUCUUUCUAACAAUAUUAUCUCUCUCAAGCCAUUUAGGUUUCAUAUCAAGAUUAGCACAUAACCAAUUUUGGAAAAGAUAAUCAGAGUAAAAGUCUCUAACUUUUACAUUCGAUGCGCCCGUGCAAGCGAUAUCAAAUGAAGGAUAAAAAGAAGCAACAUAAGUAGAUUUCCAUGACCCAUUAAACAAAAACCCACCAUUUAGAUUAUCCAAUACAAGAUUUCUCCACAGCGGCUCAUGGUUAGCAAAAACACAGAAAGAUUUACUCACAGCAGCCAAAACUCCCAAGUGGGUCCCAUCAAGAAGCCCCAGAAUGUCAAGAAUUAGUUCAUCAGAUAGGGUUUGGAGAUUACCUAAACCUGUGUUUCUGGAGUUGAUAGAACCAGGAUUGAGGUAGAGAUUGCCCAAUGGUUGGACCUCAUAAGUGUGAGAUAGAGCUAAGGCUUUGAGGCUAAACCCUUCUGCCUCUUCUUCACUAUCUUCUAUUUCUUGGUAUUCGUGGAGAUGUUGGUGUUUGGGAAUGGAUUCUCGUUUUCUUCUAGAACUAGUUUUGUUUCUUGCUUUGGUUUUGGCCUUUAGAUUCUUCUUCCUUAUGGCUUUAGACAAAAAGUUUCUGCAGCGUAACAUAGUAGCCUUCCUCCUUCAACUUCAAAGAGGAUCCGCUGAUGGAGGUAGCUGCCUGUGAGCCUAUAACCUGUGACUCUGACAGCUGAGAAGGGUUUAGCAAAAGCGACCAACCAGGGAACCAGUGACCUAAGGCGUUUCGAGGAGAUGUUAAU
This 3484-nucleotide unclassified non-coding RNA is filed under the name Hevea brasiliensis (rubber tree). The record is from RNAcentral. Lineage: Eukaryota; Viridiplantae; Streptophyta; Magnoliopsida; Malpighiales; Euphorbiaceae.